This is an RNA transcript of Astyanax mexicanus (Mexican tetra), 7528 nucleotides long. It is a transcript of the gene named scavenger receptor cysteine-rich type 1 protein M130, with no coding region annotated. Lineage: Eukaryota; Metazoa; Chordata; Actinopteri; Characiformes; Acestrorhamphidae. The record is from RefSeq and is a predicted model, not a curated record. The transcript is spliced from 32 exons.
CACAUGGUAAACAUGCAAAUUAUAUUUGCUUUUCACCUUAAUCAAAAAUAUAUCUAUAUAUGUCUGUGCAGCAUACAUUAUUAUGGUUUUCUAUAUUAUGAUAAUAAAGUGUGAUUUUUUUCACACCUAUAAAGAAUGUGUCUUCUUUUUUUUUUCAUUUUUAAAAGCACACUUAGCAACAUGUUUCAGUUAAUUAAUGCAUUUCAUACUGUUUUAGAUAAAUAAAUUAAUCAUUACAGAGAGAAUAAAGGUUUUCUCAACCACCCUUGUGGUCCCAUGGGCUCACAAGUUCCUGGCAGCGCCACAGUCGGCCCGUUUCUCAUUAUAGAUUAAGCAAGUUUGGACUCUUGUACUUUGUCAGAACGAACUUGGUAAGUUCGGCUCACGAGUGCAUACUCCAGAGAACAGGACUUUUAUUUUGUAAUUGGAACUGCUGUGAUCAGUAGAGUAGUAGGUGCAUCCUUAGAUGCAUUUCCACAAACAUACCCUACACCCGCCUCACAGGGCAGACAAACCGCCUUUGUUUGGUCCAUCGCUCACCAGCCUUGCUGUAGUUCACAGGGAACCCACAAUAUUCCCACACUUAAUCAGAGUUUCUGUAAUCAGGAUUAAAACUAGUUUUAUAUACUCUGUAACAGCAUGAGAAACACAAAAAAGUUGUUUGUAUGUGUAGUUAAAAGAAACUGUGACUUAUCUUCAUGGUGGAUGUUAUGUGUUUGGAUCUGCUGUCUGCAGGUGCAGCUUUAAUGCUGUAUUUUGUGUGUUUACUCUCUCUGAAGUUUGUCUCCAGAAGGUAGCUGACUUUGUACCUUCCUUUGCCCAUAGACACACACACAGACACAAGGAGGUGGAGCUGUGUUAAUUAGUGCUGACGCUUUUUAAAAAUAUGGCGAAAUGAAAAAAAAAGCUUCUUCUGAUUUGUCACUGAAAAUGUUUGAUAAUUUCCUCUCCUCUUUCUAAUAAGGUCAUAGUGAGUGUGAUUGGCGGCUGUGGGGAAUCUCUCUCUCUCUCUCUCUCUCUCUCUCUCUCUGUCUCUCUGUCUCUCAGGUUCUUGAGUCUUAUCUGGCUGAGUAGAGGUAAAGCUUGUUCUGCUGCUGAGUUGAGCAUAUAUAUAUAUAAUAUAUACAGCAUAUUUAAACUAACUUUGUGGACUGUAUGUAUACUGGCCUCUUUUUCUGUUAGGAUGUUGUUGGAAAGGCAGUGAAUGGUAUAAAUUCCUUUAUCCUCGAAGAACUUAACUACUUUCUCCACAUCGGGCCGGGGAUUGUCAUGCACCGUGAGAAACCACGGACUCACUGCGCCAGCGUAGGGUCUUACAAUGGGUUCAAGGAUUUCAUCUCAAUACCUAAGAGCAGGCAGGACAGUGUGAGGUUGGUGGAUGGUGGGAGCCGCUGUGCUGGGAGAGUGGAAGUUCUUCAUAGAGGACAUUGGGGAACAGUUUGUGAUGAUUACUGGGAUAUGAGAGAUGCUGCAGUGGUGUGUAGAGAGCUGGGCUGUGGGGAAGCCAUAGAUGCACCACGGAGAGCUCGCUUUGGAUCAGGAUCAGGACCGAUCUGGGUGGAAUAUGCUAACUGUGCUGGAUCAGAGUCUUCACUGAAGAACUGUAGGUCGUAUGAUUGGGGUAGACAGAGAUGUAAUCAUGAUGAAGACGCUGGUGCUGUUUGUGCAGAAGUCAGACUGGUGGGCAGAUCUCACUGCUCUGGGAGAGUGGAGGUUCUUCAUGGAGAGAGCUGGGUCACAGUGUGUGAUGCUGACUUUGACCAGCAGGGUGCAGAGGUUGUGUGUCGAGAGCUGGGCUGUGGUUCUCCUGUGGAGGUUCUGGGAGCAGCUGCUUUUGGUAGAGGGGAGGGUCAGGUGUGUUUAGAGGAGCUUCAGUGUAGAGGAACUGAAUCUCAGAUUCACUUCUGUCCAAAAUCAUCUUCACUCAAACACAACUGCUCCCAUGAUAAUGAUGUGGGACUGGUGUGUGCUGACAGUGUGAGGUUGGUGGAUGGUGGCCAUCGCUGUGCUGGGAGAGUGGAGGUUUUUUAUAACAGAACAUGGAGAUCAGUGUGUGGUAAAAACUGGGAUAUAAGAGAUGCUGCAGUGGUGUGUAGAGAGCUGGGCUGUGGGGAGGCUGUAUUUAAAAAUGUUCAGUUUGGACCAAGAUCAGCCUGGAUGGAUGAUGUGAACUGUAGUGGAUCAGAGUCUUCAGUGAAGCACUGUAGAUCAGCUGGAUGGGUGGAACAAAUUUGUAAUCGACUUGCUGGAGUCAUCUGUUCAGGGGUCAGAUUGGUGGGCAGAUCUCGCUGCUCUGGGAGAGUGGAGGUUCUUCAUGGAGAGAGCUGGGUCACAGUGUGUGAUGCUGACUUUGACCAGCAGGAUGCAGAGGUUGUGUGUCGAGAGCUGGGCUGUGGUUCUCCUGUGGAGGUUCUGGGAGCAGCUGCUUUUGGUAGAGGGGAGGGUCAGGUGUGGUCAGAGAAGCUUCAGUGUAGAAGAACUGAAUCUCAGAUUCACUUCUGUCCAAAAUCAUCUUCACUCAAACACAACUGCUCCCAUGAUAAUGAUGUGGGACUGGUGUGUUCUGAAAGUGUGAGGUUGGUGGAUGGUUUGAGUCGCUGUGCUGGGAGAGUGGAGGUUCUUCAUAAAGGACAGUGGGGAACAGUGUGUGAUGGUAACUGGGGUAUGAUAGAUGCUGCAGUGGUGUGUAGAGAGCUGGGCUGUGGAGAGGCUACAGAUGCACUUAGUGGUGCUUACUUUGGAUCAGGAUCAGGACCAAUCUGGAUGGAUAAUGUGGAGUGUAGAGAAUCAGAAUCCAUACUAAAGAACUGUAAAUCAGCAGGAUGGGGUAAACAUAACUGUAAUCAUCCUAAAGAUGCUGGAGUCAUCUGUUCAAGAGUCAGGCUGGUUGGAGGUUCUCACUGCUCUGGGAGAGUGGAGGUUCUUCAUGGAGAGAGCUGGGUCACAGUGUGUGAUUCUGACUUUAACCAGCAGGGUGCAGAGGUUGUGUGUCGAGAGCUGGGCUGUGGUUCUCCUGUGAAGGUUCUGGGAGCAGCUGCGUUUGGUAGAGGGGAGGGUCAGGUGUGGUCAGAGGUGCUUCAGUGUAGAGGAAACAAAUCUCAGACUCACUUCUGUCCAAAAUCAUCUUCACUCAAACACAACUGCUCCCAUGAUAAUGAUGUGGGACUGGUGUGUGCAGGAGUCCUGCUGGUUAAUGGCUCUCGCUGCUCUGGAAGAGUGGAGGUUCUUCAUGGUGAGAGCUGGUUCACAGUGUGUGAUGCUGACUUUAACCAGCAGGAUGCAGAGGUUGUGUGUCGAGAGCUGGGCUGUGGUUCUCCUGUGGAGAUUCUGGGAGCAGCUGCUUUUGGUAGAGGGGAGGGUCCGGUGUGGUCAGAGGAGCUUCAGUGUAGAGGAAACGAAUCACAGAUUCACUUCUGUCCAAAAUCAUCUUUACUCAAACACAACUGCUCCCAUGAUAAUGAUGUGGGACUGGUGUGUUCUGGCAGUGUGAGGUUGGUAGAUGGUGACAGUCGCUGUGCUGGGAGAGUGGAGGUUCUUUAUAGAGGACAGUGGGGAUCAGUGUGUGGUAAUAACUGGGAUAUGAGAGAUGCUGCAGUGGUGUGUAGAGAGCUGGGCUGUGGAGAAGCUGUAGAUACAUAUCAUGAGUCUUACUUUGGAUCAGCAUCAGGACCAAUCUGGAUGGAUAAUGUGCACUGCAGUGGCUCUGAGUCUACACUGAGGAACUGUGAAUCAGCAGGAUGGGGUAAACAUAACUGUGAUCAUUCUAAAGAUGCUGGAGUCAUCUGUUCAGGAGUCCGGGUGGUUGGUGGUUCUCACUGUUCUGGGAGAGUGGAGGUUCUUCAUGGAGAGAGCUGGGUCACAGUGUGUGAUGCUGACUUUAACCAGCAGGAUGCAGAGGUCGUGUGUCGAGAGCUGGGCUGUGGUUCUCUUGUGGAGGUUCUGGGAGCAGCUGCUUUUGGUAGAGGGGAGGGUCAGGUGUGGUCAGAGGAGCUUCAGUGUAGAGGAGAUGAAUCUGAGAUUACUCUCUGUCCAAUAACCUCUUCACACAAAUACAACUGCUCUCAUGGUAAUGAUGUGGGACUUGUAUGUUCUGGUCAUACUCAGGCUCGGCUGAUGAACGGCUCAGACUCUUGUUCUGGUCGAGUGGAGCUCCAGUACCUCAGUUCUUCUCUGGCGUCUCAUGAGGGAGGAGUGCGGUUGUCUGGAGGGAUGGAGUGUGAGGGGGAAGUGGAGGUGUUCUUCAGGCAGGACUGGAGGAGAGUUCUGCUGGACUCCUGGAGUGAGUCUGAGGCCUCUGUGGUCUGCAGACAGCUGGGCUAUGGUUCUGUACUCAACAUCUCCAGCUCCUCUUCAUCCAGUCCUGAACACAGCUACAUGUGUGUGACGGGUUUCAACUGCUCUGGGAGUGAAGCUCAUCUGAGGAACUGCAGCAGCUCACAAGCAGUUAACUGCAGCUCCACAGUACAGCUCUACAUCACCUGCUCUGGUACAUCUAACACAGUCCACAGCUCCAUCAGGCUGGUUGGUUCUGGGGGAGACUGUGCAGGAAGGCUGGAGGUUUUCCACAGUGGAUCAUGGGGGACAGUGAGUGAUGAAUUGUGGGAUAUUGAGGAUGCGCAGGUGGUCUGCAGACAGCUGCAGUGUGGAGUGGCCCUCAGUGCUCCAGUACCGGUACCAGCCCGGUUUGGAUCUGGAACUGGACCCAUUUGGCUUAAUGAGGUGGAGUGUGAGGGGAACGAGGCGUCUCUGUGGAACUGCAGAUAUCAGCUGUGUGGAGAGGAUGAAUGUGGACACAAGGAUGAUGUAGGAGUCGUGUGCUCAGAGUAUAAAGAGAUCAGACUGACUGAGGGCUGUGAGGGGAAUCUGGAGGUGUACUAUAAUGGAACCUGGGGGAAUGUGUGUGUAAAUGGGAUGACUGAUGAAACGGCAAAAUUGAUCUGUCGAGAGCUGAACUGUGGAAGAACUGGCAGUGAGUCUUGGUCUAAAGCAAGAGUGGAAUCAGCUCCUAACUGGCUGGAUAAUGUAAAAUGUAGGAAACAUGACUCCACUCUGUGGCACUGUCCAUCUUCUUCCUGGGGGGAGAACAGGUGUGAUAAUCGCAAUGAGGUUGCUUGCAUUACCUGCUCAGAGAAUGGAAAUACACUAGAUUUGACAAAUUGGCUGUGUGAUUCAUCUCCUCAUGAGAGACCGUGCUCAAAGCACAUUCCUCUGAGGCUGAGGGGAGGAGUAGGAAGCUGUUCUGGAUGGCUGCAGGUGUAUCAUAAUAAAACAUGGGGGUCUGUAUGUGGUGAUCUGUGGGACAUCAGGGAUGCUCAGGUGAUCUGCAGGCAGCUGGGUUGUGGGCCGGCGCUGAGUGCUAAUAGAAGAGCUGCUGAUGGUUCUGGUGGAGGAACUAUCUGGAUGAACAGAGUGAAGUGUAGAGGGAAUGAGAUUCACCUGUGGGACUGUCCUCAUUCCCUGAAGAACCACACUGACUGCUCCCACAGUGCUGGAGUCACUUGUGGAGGCUUCCUGUAUCAUACUUUGCCUUUAAAUAAUAAAAGAGGACAGAUGGGACAUUUUGUCUUGCAAGAUUCUCAACCACAGACAAGAAGAAUCAUACUUCCACAAACUCCUCCACCAGCUGUUCCCUCCAUCUAUCCAGUGUCUCUCCUGGUUCUGGGAUCUGUGCUCUUCCUGGCCUUAGUGCUUCUGGUUGUGCUGUUUUAUCAGAACAGAGUGCUCAGGAGAGUGAUCUCUAAGAGGAGGAAGACUUCAGCUGAGCCUGUCUAUGAGGAGAUUGACACCAGGCUCAUCCCUAAAAGAAUUACUGUCUCAACUGAAACCUCCUUCUGCUGAUCUUCCUCUUUCGGGUGGGGAUGGAGACGGUGGAGAGGGUGGUGAGCUUCCUGAGGGCUUUGAGGAUAGUUAUCCUGGUGCGUGUCUUUCGUCUGGCCUCUCAGAAGAAAGAUCUGGAGAAGGUCACUAGAAGAAAGGUAUCUGAGAACAAAAGGCGGUAACAAAAAGGAUGGAUUUGAUUUGGAUCUCACCUAUGUCACAGCAGGCACUCUACAGAAAUCCCAUAAAAGAAGCUGCCAUAUUUCUGGACACAAAGCAUCCCGAUCAUUACAGAGUUUACAAUCUCUGCAGUCAAAAAGGCUACGAUCCACUGUUCUUCCAUUACAGAGUGCAACGAGUGAUGAUUGACGACCAUAACGUACCGUCAUUAGACCAACCCACUCGUUAGGACUCCCCCUAUCACUAGUAAUGCCCCAACACACCAGGAGGAUGAAGACUAGCACACUCUUUCUCCGAUACAUGUGAAGUCAGCCACCGCUUCUUUUCGAGCUGCUGCUGAUGCAGCAUUGCCAAGCAGCCAGCACAUUUGGAGGAAAGCGCAGCGGCAGGUGAAGUGCGUAAUAUGGACAGUGUGCGCUUUGCACUUGUGCAACUUUUUUUUAAAAACAGUUUGAUUUGUUUCUGCUAUAUUUUGAUUCAUAGCUUUAUAUAAAAUGAAAAUAACUUAUAACUAUAUUAUUUUCUUUAGCCCGAGGAACCUGAGGAAAGUGGUGGGAAAUCUCGAGCCAGGUCAGACCUUGGGUUGGGUUUGGGCAGAGAACCUAAGCUCUUAUUCACAUAUUGAACUUUGUGUUAUUGUGUUCUCAGUGACAUGUUGAACUACACUGCCAGUUUGAGGGAAUGUCAUUGCCAUCCACUGCAAAGGAGGCAAAGGUGUGGGAAAGGGCAAUGGCAGUGAUCUGAAGGUGCGGAUCAUAGUGAAAAGAGAGCAGGUGUUCCAGUGUGUCUGUGCCACGCAGACGAACUGUAGGCUGUUCCCAGAUACUGAAAACAAUGCCGUGGUGAUCAGCUUUCAGGAAGGGCCAGUGGUUUGUGGUGAUGUUAAGGUCAUGUUUGAAUCCAGGGCUGGUCUUCCAAAGGGGUAUGAGGACUAUCCUUUCUAUUUCUGGUUCAACACUUCAUUUGUAGAGAACAACAGGCUCUAUCUGUCAAGGGAGGAACUGGACAACCCACGUAAGUCCAAAACCUGGGACAUCUACAAGGAGGACUUUGGUGUGACCGUGUCUUUCAGUGACCCUGCACUUAUGUAGCAGACGACACUUGCUUGUGUAUCUCAACUAAAACCCUUAAGCCCUGCACAAGGUCUAAAUCUUUGCUCUAAUGUCGGUUUUCACACACUUAUAAAAGGUGAGUGAUGUUUAGGGAUUGGAUUCGGGCAUAUUGUGCCCCUAAAGCUAUAGCUAUAUAACCUCCAUCCCCCACCUUCACUGUAAGAGCUUUUUACUGAGCCGUGCAUACAUCACAAUAUUAUGCAUUUGUUUGUCAAAUGUUUUUUUGUCUUUAAAUGAAGACAAAUGUUUGUGUCAGUUUAGCAUAUUAUGCUUCCAAAAUGUAAAUCUUACUCUUUAAGCUUGAGUGUACAUCAAAUAAAGCAAUCGAGGCUGCCACUGUGAAAUGGUCAAUGGUUAUGUGUGCAGAAACAUUUUUUUGUAGUACACAUGUAUUGAAAUAAAUACGAAUGUCUCUGUAA